RNAcentral lists this unclassified non-coding RNA (1833 nucleotides) under Harpegnathos saltator (Jerdon's jumping ant). RNAcentral describes it as "neuropeptide-like 1, transcript variant X2". The record is from RNAcentral. Lineage: Eukaryota; Metazoa; Arthropoda; Insecta; Hymenoptera; Formicidae.
GGCAACACGUUCCGAAGCGAUACUCACAUUUGGAAGGCUGCCUCGCGAGAGACAGGUUGAUCUGCCGGAAACAUGGGGUUCGCCAGAAACUACCUCGUAAGCCUGCUCCUCUACGUCUCCAUUGUCAACGAGAUUCGUCAACCAGCGGUGACGUGCCAGGACGAAGAGAGCAGUCACUGCAUACCAAAGAAGAUCUUCGUGGCGUUGCUACGCUUACCGGAGGUCAGCUCAAAUCUAGCCGCCUAUUCGAGGACAGCGAGGAUCAUUCAGGAAACGAAAAACCGCAACGACAUGGUUCACCUGAAAGCUCUCAGCUCGGAGGAGAGCGACGACGCCGAGAUUUGUAUCCCAAGCGGGGUUUAUCUGGAGCUCUUCAGGGAUCCGGCCUUGCGAGGACACCUGAGCGUGAUGGCUCGUACUCACAAGCUGCCUGAAUUCCCGGGACGCCUCUUGGACGACAGCGAGGAGAUCGAGCCGAGGGACGUGAUUUCUGAAUUGGAGAAACGUAGCCUCGCUACGUUGGCCAAGAACGACGACCUGCCUGUUACUAUCCAGGAACGCCGGAGUGACCGCGAUGACGAGGAGAAACGGUCCCAUUUCAGCGACAAUCGGGGCGCUCUGAUAAGCGCACUACUAGCCGAGGAGUACCGCCGACGAGUACCCGAGUACUACGACUUCCUGUCUGAGUUGGACCCGGAGGUGGACGAGUACACGCUCGACAAGCGCAACGUGGGCUCCUUGGCGCGGGACUUCGCCUUGCCUACGGGUCGACGUCACAUCGCUUCGGUGGCGCGCGAUUACGGUUUGCCGAGCGGCAAGAGAAACAUCGGCGCCUUGGCCAGGCAGAGCAUGCUGCCACUGAACGGUAAGAGAAACGUCGCCUCUCUGGCGAGAUAUUACAUGCUGCCGCAGGCCGACAAGAGGAACGUGGCCGCCUUGGCCAGGGAGUCGUCCUUGCCUUACGGCAAGCGUUAUCUCGGCUCGCUGGCUCGAAGCGGCGGCUACCCGGUCUACGGAUACGACGACGGCAAGAGGAGCGUCGCCUCCUUGGCCAGAAACGCCGAUUGGCCGGCUUUCGCGAAGCGAGGUCGCUCGACACCGGGUAGAAUAAUGGCUACGAUGCGAGUGCUCAAUCGCCACGGGAGAUCCUUGAACGACGAUCGCGAGGCGCGAAAUAACGAGCCGUUGGACCUGCAGCAACUCAUCAGGCAGGGCCACCACGGCGACGAGGAGGCGAAGGAGGACGUUGCCGAGUGGCAGACCACUCCCUUCAGUGUGCUGGACGAGCUGGAAGACACCAAGGCGAAGAACAGGUCCAACAGGAAAAUGGACGUCGCGUCGCAAACGAGACACAAAAGGCAGAUCGAUUUCUCUGACGAGUAUCCGUUGCCCGUCGUGCAAAACGCCAACGUAUUCGACUACGAGGACAUGAUCGACGCGUUCGCUGAUCAUUACCCGAACGCAGAGAAGAGGUUCAUGGGUUCCGUGCCGGAGAUGCCGGCCGACUCGGGCUACCCGGAAGUUUUGCGAACGAGUAAGAGGCAUAUCGGGGCCCUCGCGCGCCUCGGCUGGCUCCCGUCGUUCCGUGCACCACGAUUCUCUCGGUCACCGCGAUAUCUGGUCGGAAGGUCAGACCAUUAGGCAGCGCUCUCCGUGUCCUCCGCCGUGUCCUCUUCUCCCACUUCGAUGUGAUGUCUUCACCGUUUGUCGUAUCAAGUAGAGCUCUACCUACAGACUGAGAAAAUGUCAUAUGUGGAGAAUCCCGCAGAUGGGUCCACGUCCCACUACACCUCCGACACGUCGACACGGUCGCUAAGGCCGUUAUUCACCCCG